RNAcentral lists this ribosomal RNA (492 nucleotides) under uncultured bacterium. RNAcentral's name for it is "partial 16S ribosomal RNA". It matches the Rfam family "Bacterial small subunit ribosomal RNA", at positions 30 to 507 of the family's 1533-position model. The record is from RNAcentral.
AUUGAACGCUGGCGGCAUGCUUUACACAUGCAAGUCGAACGGUAACAGGCCUUCGGGUGCUGACGAGUGGCGAACGGGUGCGUAAUGCAUCGGAACGUGCCCAGAGGUGGGGGAUAACGCAGCGAAAGCUGUGCUAAUACCGCAUGUGAUCUGAGGAUGAAAGCGGGGGACCAGGCAGCAAUGUUUGGCCUCGCGCCUUUGGAGCGGCCGAUGUCAGAUUAGGUAGUUGGUGGGGUAAAGGCCUACCAAGCCGACGAUCUGUAGCUGGUCUGAGAGGACGACCAGCCACACUGGGGCUGGGACACGGCCCAGCCUCCUACGGGAGGCAGCAGUGGGGAAUUUUGGACAAUGGGCGCAAGCCUGAUCCAGCAAUGCCGCGUGCGGGAAGAAGGCCUUCGGGUUGUAAAACGCUUUUGUACGGAACGAAAAGGCUCUGGCUAAUACCUGGGGCUGAUGACGGUACCGUAAGAAUAAGCACCGGCUAACUACGUG